RNAcentral lists this long non-coding RNA (583 nucleotides) under Elaeis guineensis (African oil palm). RNAcentral describes it as "long non-coding RNA (EGUI_LNC010412)". The record is from RNAcentral. Lineage: Eukaryota; Viridiplantae; Streptophyta; Magnoliopsida; Arecales; Arecaceae.
CUCGGUGGACUAGAGGGGUUCGACGCUACUCGGGACCGGUUCGACCGCGGAUUCAGGCCUCACCAGAUCGGCGGCCGAGGCUCGGGCGAGCUCCCGUCGUCAAGGCCCCUGUGCACGCCCUAAUCGACACCGAAGCCCACGGCCGAACCAAUCCAUCCCAAAGUCAUCGUUGCGGCGUGUGGAGUCAUUAGGAACUGCCGGAAGCGCUAGCGGAAAAGCAUACGAGUGCGCGAGACGCAUCGUCCAGCAGUGGAGCGUGCGGAGGCGGGGACGAUCGAAGGAGAGGCACCGGAGACGGCCAAGGAAGGCGCGUACAUCGAGAAGGCACCGGUCGGAGGGGCUCGUACCCGUGCGGGGAAGGAUCGACCGUGCGUCAAGUUGUGCUGGGAGGCAUCAGCCGUGCGUGGAGGUGCGCGAGGAGCUUCGGCCGCACACAGGGCUCUGCCCGAGGCCGCUAAUGCCGGCCUUGGAGCGCGAGGGCAUCACCGAAUGUGAGGACGCGUGCUGGGGAAACUUCGGGCCACCUUCGGUGGCCUCGGGCCCAUUGAUGUCGGCUUUGGCCGCCGGGAAGAGUGGCUUUGGU